GUGAGGAAUAUUGGACAAUGGGCGCAAGCCUGAUCCAGCCAUGCCGCGUGCAGGAAGACGCAUCUAUGGUGUGUAAACUGCUUUUGUACGGGAAGAAACACUCCCUCGUGAGGGAGCUUGACGGUACCGUAAGAAUAAGGAUCGGCUAACUCCGUGCCAGCAGCCGCGGUAAUACGGAGGAUCCAAGCGUUAUCCGGAAUCAUUGGGUUUAAAGGGUCCGUAGGCGGUUUAAUAAGUCAGUGGUGAAAGCCCAUCGCUCAACGAUGGAACGGCCAUUGAUACUGUUAGACUUGAAUUACAAGGAAGUAACUAGAAUAUGUAGUGUAGCGGUGAAAUGCUUAGAUAUUACAUGGAAUACCAAUUGCGAAGGCAGGUUACUACAUGUGGAUUGACGCUGAUGGACGAAAGCGUGGGGAGCGAACAGGAUUAGAAACCCGAGUAGUCC
Molecule: ribosomal RNA, 445 nt
Filed under: uncultured bacterium
Lineage: Bacteria
Description: partial 16S ribosomal RNA
Rfam family: Bacterial small subunit ribosomal RNA
Source: RNAcentral